AGCCCCUAUCGAUGGCCUGAAGUUUGAAACCAGCCACUGAUAUAACAUGCAGCACAGAUGUGACAAACAGGAGAAAACCAGCUAUCUAUCACAGCAGUUCCUGAAGCCCUGCAAUAAAACAAAAUGCCAGAUGGAAUUAGAAACCACCGCCGGCGCUCAGAGCCCACUGUGAAGCUGCUCCUUGGAUGCCAACCCUGGGGCUCGUGCUGACCUCCAGCCACGGGCCACCCCGCGCUGUGGGUCUGGUGGCAGCUCCAUCCGAAGGGCAGCAUUCACCUCCUCGGGGCAGGAGCUCUGCGAAAGCCCAGCAAUGGGAUAACCACGCUUUGAAGAACCGUGGGCUGAAGGCCAGCCCAGCCACCUGCUGUGGGUGGGACACUCCUCCCUGCUGCUCUCUCAUCUGCAUCCCACGACGUGCGCCGGGAUGAGCACCUGGCCCGGCAGCCUGCGCUUUGCAGAGAGCUGCUCACCUCUGCGUGCAAACCCUCAUCUGUUGCUGGGAGGAAGCCUGUGUUUGAGGAGGGGCUGCUGCAGCUUCUCAGAAGUCUGAGCACUGGGAGCUGUUUUCCUCUUCUUCCUUUUCCGUUAUUCAUCUGAAAGUGUUCACUUUGCUAAAAUGUGAAUCCAUCAGGACCAUAUGCUCCCAGCUAUGUUGCAGGCACCCAGGACUAAUUCAGAUCUUGUGCCUGUCUUCGGGCCAUCUGCUAACAGGAUCACACGAGACCAUGUGUCAUCACGGGCUGAAAUUUGCAUAGAUGCUUUGAGGAGCUGUGCCCAGCCCCAACCACAUGAGCCACGAUGAAUGCCCUCGAGUUGCCAUGAACCACCCCGUGCUGUAGGGAGGUAGCACGAGGACCCAGUGAUGCCCAUGGCCAAUGCCAUCCCCACCCGUCCUCUGUCCUGCCCUCAUCUGCUCCAAUCCAUGGCUGGAUGUGCAGGACAAGGCGAGCCCACAGGCUCUGCGGGAGGUUAACACAUGAAUCGUCCCAGCUGUGACAGCAGAGCCUUAACUAAGCCCAUCAAUAACGGAUGGCACUGCAGCGGUGGAGCGGGCGGCAGCCCUGGGGCCUCUCUAUCAGCAGGCAAGGAGGAGAUGGCAGCAGCAGAUAAUGGAUGGCAAACAUCCAGCACGCGCCAGAGUUCCGAAAGCGCCACGACUCUCGUUUCAUCCCCUCUGCAACACUUUGGAGAGCAAAACCAGGGGGAUGACGGAGCGAACAAACGUCUCCGUGCCGUGGGAGCCAAGUUUUGCAAACGCACUUCCUCCGGAUGGCGCCGGGUCUACCUGAUAGCAUCGCUGUGUGCACAAAAACCGCCCGCUGCUGAGAUUAAAGGGAUGUCCUUCAGCUGUGGCAAUCACACCGUGGCUCUGUGCACGCUGGGGCUGUGCGGGGGAAGCUGGCAGACAGCUCUGACCGAGCAGAACACAUUUUGCUUUGGAACGUGCAGACGCUAGAAAAUGGAAGAUGGAGAUAUAUAUUUUUUAUUAUUUUGCUUUCGAGCCAUCAGCGUGGCUUAUUGGUUGAUUAAUAACCGUUUGUUAGCGUUCUUUAAGUUCUGUAGGAAACAGAAGGCCUGUAAAUGGCCUGGAUGAGCAAAAAGCACAAAAUACCUCAGACAUAAUACGCCAAAUGUAAAUAAUAUUUAUGGCUCAUUAAAGCAUUGAUGCUCUGCGUGCAUUGGAGUACACGCAGCGGGGAGCCAGAGGAGCGAGAGGUUGGCUCAUUAUUUCUUUUCAACCUGAGAAAUGCGGAAAUAAAAUGCUGAAAAACAUCUCCA
Molecule: long non-coding RNA, 1779 nt
Organism: Numida meleagris (helmeted guineafowl)
Lineage: Eukaryota; Metazoa; Chordata; Aves; Galliformes; Numididae
Source: Ensembl